GCAUUAGUAGCUCAGAGUUAGAGCGCCGGCCUUGUAAGUCGGAUGCGAAGGUUAAAGUCCUUCCUUUUGCU
Molecule: transfer RNA, 71 nt
Filed under: Omobranchus fasciolatoceps
Lineage: Eukaryota; Metazoa; Chordata; Actinopteri; Blenniiformes; Blenniidae
Description: tRNA-Thr
Rfam family: tRNA
About the family: Transfer RNA (tRNA) molecules are approximately 80 nucleotides in length. Their secondary structure includes four short double-helical elements and three loops (D, anti-codon, and T loops).
Source: RNAcentral